GCGCCGCCGCUGCCCCUACCUGGUCGGGCUCUUCUUGUCUCCCAUGCCGGCUCCAGACGCGUCCCGGCCCGGCCCCGACGCGGCCCUUUGAAUACAAGAGGAGACCACUCACAGCAUCAAGCCAUCCCAUGUCAUCUCUUCAACUGAAACAGUGAUGGAAGGCAUUACUUAGCAGCAGUGCUGGAAAGCAUAUGUAAGAGGUGGCAGGCUUCCCACGGAAUUAGUGCCAAAGGAAGAACAGCAGCCCAAAGGAGAUUUCACAGUUUACAGCAAUAUUUAAAGCAUUCUGAAACUGUUUAGGAAAUAUGGCUGAAAGUCAUAUGGCUUCUUGGUCCUACAUACCAUUUUUUAAAGGCUGUCAGAGAAAAAAAAAUAAAUACUGGAACUAAAGCCUCUAAGCCAGUUCCAUGCUUAGUUUAGUGCUCCAACACUGCUUCAAGAUAGCACACACCUACUGCAAUGGCUGGAUUCACAAAUGCCACAAGCUGCCUUUGGAUCAAAAGUGCUGUUCAAUUUUUAUCACUAUAAAUCUCUUUUAUGAAUUCCUUCAGAUUUACUCUGAGAUUGGAAUUUGACUUAGAGGCAUUAUCUUUGACUAAUGAUGGGAAAAGGGCGAAUGUGUCUGCAUUGUGGGAUCAGUAGGAAAAAUAGAUAUUGGAGAUGUACUGAUUUUUUCAGAUGUAAUAGAAGUAAUGAAUGAAUAAACCAACCUUCUGUCAGAAAAAAAAAACCACACAAAGAUGCUUAGUCUUUGGGAAGAAUACAUUUUCUAUGUGUAGUAAAAAAUAUAUUUCACUGCUUAUAAUUAUAUAUACACACAUACAAACACAGAGACAUGGGUACCUAAACAUUCAAAAGAAUUGAAAUUUUUUCUUGAAAGGUAUUCCGUAUCAGCUCACUACAUUUUCAUUAUGAAAUAUUCUGAGGUCUCCAUGAGAGACCUCAUGAGUCCUUUUUUCCCAAUUUCCAUAUUAUUCUAGGUAAGGAAGAUAAUGAUGAAUGUCACAGAAGUGCAGCAUGCAGGAGUGCUGGAGUCUGCCUGGGACACUAGCCAGAAUAGCACUGCAACAGCACCUGACAGAUAAAAUUAAAGCAUGAAUCAUAAUCUCUGGUCUGCCAAACUGAGCUUUAUUCAAGUUGUAGCUGUAAGAUGGAUCACAGUUUGAUGGCAUGUCCUGAAGCUAACUAUCCCUUAAUUUCCAAUGGUGUUGUGAGAAGGUUGUGUAUUGGCACAAAUGUGGGUUUGUGUGAUGAGAAUUGAGUGAAGAGAGUUCAAAUCAUAAUGGUUUCUGUUGUGUAAAUUUAAAUGA
Molecule: long non-coding RNA, 1310 nt
Organism: Vidua chalybeata
Lineage: Eukaryota; Metazoa; Chordata; Aves; Passeriformes; Viduidae
Exons: 4
Source: RefSeq, a predicted model, not a curated record